AACGAACGCUGGCGGCAUGCCUAACACAUGCAAGUCGAACGAUCCCUUCGGGGAUAGUGGCGCACGGGUGCGUAACGCGUGGGAACCUGCCCUUAGGUUCGGAAUAACUCAGAGAAAUUUGAGCUAAUACCGGAUAAUGUCUUCGGACCAAAGAUUUAUCGCCUUUGGAUGGGCCCGCGUUGGAUUAGCUAGUUGGUGGGGUAAAGGCCUACCAAGGCGACUAUCCAUAGCUGGUCUGAGAGGAUGAUCAGCCACACUGGGACUGAGACACGGCCCAGACUCCUACGGGAGGCAGCAGUGGGGAAUAUUGGACAAUGGGCGAAAGCCUGAUCCAGCAAUGCCGCGUGAGUGAUGAAGGCCUUAGGGUUGUAAAGCUCUUUUACCCGGGAUGAUAAUGACAGUACCGGGAGAAUAAGCCCCGGCUAACUCCGUG
RNAcentral lists this ribosomal RNA (433 nucleotides) under uncultured bacterium. RNAcentral's name for it is "partial 16S ribosomal RNA". It matches the Rfam family "Bacterial small subunit ribosomal RNA", at positions 29 to 507 of the family's 1533-position model. The record is from RNAcentral.